ACAGAGGUCCCAAGCGUUGUUCGGAUUCACUGGGCGUAAAGGGUGCGUAGGUGGUGAGGUAAGUCGGAUGUGAAAUCUCCGGGCUCAACCCGGAAAUGGCAUUGGAAACUACCUUGCUAGAGGAUUUGAGGGGGGAUUGGAAUACUUGGUGUAGCAGUGAAAUGCGUAGAUAUCAAGUGGAACACCAGUGGCGAAGGCGGCGACCUGGACGGACACUGACGCUGAGACGCGAAAGCGUGGGGAGCAAACAGGA
RNAcentral lists this ribosomal RNA (253 nucleotides) under uncultured prokaryote. Its description in RNAcentral is "partial 16S ribosomal RNA". It matches the Rfam family "Bacterial small subunit ribosomal RNA", at positions 525 to 777 of the family's 1533-position model. The record is from RNAcentral.